Magnolia sinica is the source of this 7046-nucleotide long non-coding RNA. RefSeq lists it as uncharacterized. The transcript has 3 exons. The record is from RefSeq and is a predicted model, not a curated record. Lineage: Eukaryota; Viridiplantae; Streptophyta; Magnoliopsida; Magnoliales; Magnoliaceae.
GAAGAUAUGGGGGCACUAGGGGUCCGAGAAUAGGGGAUCGUAGAGGAGGGGGAGGAGAUUGAGGAGGCAGAAGUUGGAGAUUGGGUUCGGGUGAAGAAGAAAAUGGAAUCUACUCACAGUGAGAUUAGAAAUAAAGGUUCUCAGAUGCACUCGGAGUACCCAACAUUGUUUGUCGGAAGGUUCUUGGAGGGGUGGGUGGAGAUGCAAUUCGCCGAGGUUUUUAGAGUAGUAAGUUCAAGGAGGUCAUCCCUAAGAAGAGAGGUUUGUAUGCUGUAAGGGGCGUUGUGUUCAUCAAAAUGGAAUGUGAAGAAGAGAUGUAUCAGGCGAUACCGGUUUGAAUGGGAGGAAAUUUGGGGACAAGAAGAUCUUUGUUAAAAUGGGAAGGUAUCAACCCGAUAUCAUAAACGGGCUGCCAACAAAGAAGGAAGCGGCAAGAUCCUCGAAGGGUGAUUCUCAAGGCAAGAAUGAUGAAGGGUCACAGGCCAGUGGAGGAAGUGAGGAAAGCUAAAGGAGGCAAUUGCAGAUCAUACCAAUAGGUGGCGGCGUCUAAGUUUAAAGGAGAAGAGACAUAAGAGAAGAUCUAUUUAGAAGAGGAAGAAAAUGUAGGACAAGAGGGGAAAUGGGUUUGAAGAGAGAACUGUUUGAAGGUCCAGUGGUGUAUGUUCAUUCGUUGGUGAUCGAAAACUUAUGGAGAACUUUCCAGUGGAGCUAGGUGGCAAAAGUGAGACGUGAGACUUCUUUGGAGGAUGUGGGUAGUUAGCUUCACCAAUACUGUGGAUUGGAGGGAGAUUGAUUGGGUGUUGAAAUCACUCAAGAUGACAGAGGUGUGGGUUUUGUAGGGGAAGAUAUGAACAAGAGGGAGUGAGGAAAGCUAAUGGAGGCAAUUGCGGAUCAUACCAAUAGGUGGCAGGGUCAAAGUUUAAAGGAGAAGAGACAUAAGAGAAGAUCUAUUUAGAAGAGGAAGAAAAUGUAGGAUGAGGGGAAAUGGGUUUGAAGAGGAGAAUCGUCUGAAGGCCCAGUGGUGUAUGUUCAUUUGUUGGUGAUCGAAAACUUAUGGCAAACUUUCCAGUGGAGCUAGGUGGCAAAAGUGAGACGUGAGACUUCUUUGGAGGAUGUGGGUAGUUAGCUUCACUAAUACUGUGGAUUGGAGGGAGAUUGAUCGGGUGUUGAAAUCACUCAAGAUGACGGAGGUGUGGGUUUUGUUACGGCUGGAAAUUAAUGUCAAUCUUGCUAAUUCUUGGCGGGAUUUUUUUUAAAGGACAACUCGCUUUCUUGAUUCGACGUGGGAGUGGUUAAUUCUGCGAAGAAAGGAAGCUUGAGUCCAAUUGUGGCCUUUCGGGACCUUCCUCGAGAGCUAUGAUUUCAAGAAUUUUUGGUGGAAGUGGGCCCAUUCUUGGGGAGGUUACUAGCAUUGAUCCUGUGACUGAUAAAUUUGUCAAUUUGUACGUGGCAAGAAUGUGUUUAUAGGGGGAAGUUAUCACAAUUGUCGAAAAAUGUGGUCAUCAAUGUUGGAAAAGGGAGGAUUUCGGUGCAGGUGAUGUAAGAAAAGAGAAGGCUAGAAGGUUCUGGUGGGGUUGUUGUAGUGACAUUAGCAGAGGGAACAGGGUUUGCCGUAGGAGCGGAGAGCAAAGGUGUUUUCCCUUGGUGGGCAGGAGGAACACAAAAACAGGAUGUUGACUUGUGUGAGGUGGUUUGUGUGACAGAGAAAGUUGGGAAAAUAAAUAAUGAGAGUAGAUGCGUGGUCUAGUAUUUAAUGGAGAACUAAUGUGGGGUGACAGUCUGGGCUCGAGAGAAGACGUCGAGGCAUUAACAGGGGGCACGCGGCCUCUAGUACCAUCUCUUGGAAGGAGCAUUAAUGUCUAAGUGAUUAGUGGCUUUGCAGGUGGCGUGAAUAGAGAGAGAGGGAGAGGAGAGGCUUGACAUGUGUAGUGUAUGGAUGGGAGGUGUCAAAGAGGUAAUUCUUGCAAUGAAGUGUGGCAUGGUUGAUGUUGAUGGGGUUGCAUGCCUCUCACACGGGUGGGAAGGAGCAUGUGCGAAGUCGCUUGAGGGUGAUUUGCAUGUAUGGUAAGCUCAUUUUCCCACAUUUGCAACAUCCUUUUUCAUUUUCCAAAGGGAUUUUGAUCCCGUCGAACCCUUUGUUUCUCUCCUACUCGGCUCUCAAUGAAAAAGAGAGCUUUCCGAAUCCUAGCGAGAAGACCGUUUUUGUUUUCUUGACUUCUUCGUUUGAUGGGAUAUCGGAUGCUCACAUUGUGGUUCUCGUGCCGGCAUAAGCCGAUUGGUGUGAGGUUGGAUGGUCUCAGCCAAUCACAACAGAGGUAAGCAUGAAGGAGUUGUCUAGGUGCUUGUUCGACCCCUAGGAUGGACAAAACGAAAGGUUAUAGGAUGGUAGUAGCUUUUGACGAUCAGGAGGAGCAAUGGAAGGCACUGUUGUUGUUAGAAGACAUGAAUAUUCAACCUUUUAAGGUCGUUGAUGCAGGUAACAAAAAGGCAGUUAAAUGCAGUAGGGAAAAAACUCGUGAUUGUUCCUUUCACGAUUUGGGAGAGAGCAAUUUAGUUUCGAUGGCAAGGGGGAUGGGAUGGUUGAGGGAGGAUUUGGGGCAUGUUGGAAGACUUUUGGGGGUGGCUUUCAGAGAUAGCAAGGUUGAUUACAUAACUCUAUUCCGAGUUGUGGAGGAAAAGGGGAAUUUGAAACUUUAGGCAAUGAAUCAAGGGUAAGGGAGCAGACUCUCAAAGGGCAACUGAGAAUUGAAAGGCUUAGUUUCAAGAGUCAGUGAUGAGGGAGGAGAUUUAGCCAAGGGAGGAGCAAGGGCGAGAACAACGGGGAGAAGUGCCUAAUGAAGAUAUUAAUUUGGAAUUUUAAGGGUUUGGGAUGCCCUAAAAAAUGACUCCAGAUAAGGGAUGUUUGCAAGAAAUUCAAAGCUCAAAUAAUCACUAUCUGGGAAACCAAGAUGUAGUCCAUGAAUCAGGCGGUGGUGGAUGCAGUUUCAAAUGGGAAGUCUGAAAUUGCGGUAGGACUGCUAUUAUAGAAGUAUGGAUAUAUGUCCAAGUGUCCUAGAGGGGGGUGAAUAGGACUUUUCAAAAAUAUUUACUUAUAAUAACAUACAAUGCCUAACUUUAACCAAGAUAAGUAAGGCAAAAUAACUCUAUGGCUUCCAAGCCAAUAGAGGGUCCAAAAUACAUAGGCUACACAAGAUUUAUAUAUAAAACGACUAGCCUAUGAAGAUAGUGAAUGUGAGAGUGUGUGGAAUGUGAUUCCUAUCAAUGCUUAGACAUUCGUUUAAUCAUGCAUCAUAAAUAAACAUUCAAGGAACAUAAGCAUAAUUAGAUUAAUGCACAAAUAGCCAUUCCAAACACAAUUAUAUAUAGUGGUUCGGCCACUUGCUUGCUCCACUCCCGGCUAACGCACUCUCUCCUAUAGUGUACCGGAUUUCACUAUCCAAUGGUUUUAAAUCAAGUUAACCAUGAACCUUAACAAGUUACACAAGGUUAACUGAAGAGCCUAUACAAGGCAACCUUAGAUGCCUACACAAGGCGACAAGUCCUACACAAGGACACAACUUAGGAGCCUAUAUAAGGCAAACUAUGCCUACACAAGGCAACACGUUCUACACAAGGACAACGUAUUCUCCUGUCGGAGGUGUACAAAAGGUCUUGGCGAGUUUGUCACCCAAACUUUGAAUCCCAAUCCUACACAUGAAAAGGGCUUCAGACUCAACGGACUCGGUAUACUUACAAAUAAGUGAGUGAGCCCCUUUCUUGCACAAUCUAAAGAUGAUCUUCUUUGUUGAUGAAGAGUCUUUAGCUCCCUUGAACCGCAACCGCUUAUGAUGCUCCAAGCAAUGCUCCGAGGUUGUGAGGUUUAAGGUUUGAUCCUAUCUUCUAUAUUAAAUGAUAUGAAUUAAAUACCUAGAGAAGAUUCCCAUGAGUUAAGCAUUCAAGAGUUCCAGCACAAUGAUUUACCUUUAAAAAGUGCUACUGGAAACUCAAUGAAUGCCAGAGUUCAUAAUUCAAUCCAAGUCAAGAAGAUGACAAUAAAUGCCCGUGCUAUGGAUUGAAUGAUGAACUCUUAUGGGAAAGAAGGCUUGAGGAUGAGGGUAUAAUCAAUUACAAUAAGUCUCUCAAGAUUCCUUCAAUUCUUACUCAUUUUGCUAAGAAGAAACCCACAGGUAUAUAUAAAGAAGAAUCCCAAUGGUAAAAAAAAAAGGACAGAAAUCUGACAUUGUUGAUGCUACUGUAUAGUCUUCGAUUCCAUUGAAAUUUGAACUUCAAUGUUAUCAAGCCUUAUUCGAUUGUAUCGACUACCUACACUAAGAUAUUCAUUUAUGUGUAAAAUAGAUUCUGAUCGAUCUUAUCGAGCAUCCUUCGAUUCCAAUGAUGUGCACUUCGAUGUUAUCGAAAGGAGGUUCGAUUCCAUCGAAUUUUCUUUAGAAAAAUUACCUUUGGUUGCUGGAAGAUUUUGUCCCAAUUUUCGAUACAAUCGAUCAUACUUUGAUGCUAUCGAAUUUUGAAAUUCGAUGACAUCAAAGGGUCUUCGCUGUAAUCGAAAAUGAUGGAUAUUCCUUGACAGCUUGUUGGACAAACUGGUCCUGAAUUUCGAUGUAAUCGAAUAGUCUUCAAUGCCAUCGAUAACUUACUCUCGAUGUGAUCGAAGAUGAUUUGAUUCCACCGAGGAACACUUAGAGAGAAUUUUCUUUGAAGAGGGAGUACCCUAAGUCGAUUCAAUCAAGUGGGUUUGAUGCUAUCGAAAUUUGAAUUUCGAUGUCAUCGAACUCUAUUCGAUAUAAUCGACAAUACCCAGCAGAUGAUCAUUUUGUUGCUGGACAGUAUGGGCCUAUUUUUCGAUGCAAUUGAACCAUGUUUGAUAGCAUCGAAAAUGUCCUCGAUUGCAUAUCGAUGCAAUCGUGAUUUUUCCUGUUUAGUCCAUGAUUUUCCCCCUAGUAUUCUAAGUGAUUAAAACUAAGCUUACCAAGGAGGAUUUAAGAAUUGUUGUGGGUAAGACUAAGUUAAAUGGGGUCAUAUAGCUCAAGGGUUUGGUUAGGGAAGUGAGGCUUUGUUUACGUCUGUGGAGCGCUCAAACUUCUUCUUGGUUGAGAUAUUGAUCUUGUGAACUUUUAGCUUGGGGCUUACUUAUAAGACUGACUCAACACUCACAUAAUUUGACAAACUGGCACUUUUAAAGUCUAAUGAGAGUGUUGCUCUGGAUGCAGUUAGGACAGCAGAUGGUGUUAUAGUAAUUUGGGGUUCUAGUUUGAGGGGUUGUGAGGACCGUUGGCUUGGACCUUACUCAGUUUCAGUUUUGCUGAAGGAAAAGGCAGGGGUUGUAAUUGGGUAGUCUCAGUGAUUUACAGCCCAAACAUUCCAGGACAGUGGGCUCACGUUUGGGUGGAGUUGGAUUUCAUUCACAAAAGGUGGAAGGAAUGUUGGUGCUUGGGCGGGGAUUUCAAUAUAACUAGAUUGUCCUUCGAGAAGUUGGGGGAAUGAUGCCAAAUUAAUAGAAGUACAAGGGUUUUUUCCGACUAGAUGCAUAGGAAUGAGCUUGAUGAUCUUUCCAAUGGGGAAUGUUAAAUUUACAUGAUCAAGUGGUCAAGAUAGGGUGGUAAACUCCAAGUUGGAUAGAUUUCUAAUGUCAUUGGAGUGUGUUGAUAAGCUUCCUCGUCUCUUAAAGAGGUAUCUCUAAGCCUACUUUAGACCACUGCCCCAUAAUGCUUGAAGUUGAGGAAGAUUGGGGUCCACCCCUUUCAGAUCGAGCUUUCAUGGCAUGAGGUGGAAGGAUUCAAUGAUAUCGUGAAGGAAUGGCGGUCGUCUUUUAAGGUGAAGGGUCAUGCGGGUUUUUCAUUGUUUCAAAAACUCAAGAUGAAAAGGAAAAAUCAUCAAUUGGAAAAGGGAGGUAUUUGGCAACUGGGAGGCGGAGAUGCAAAAAAUCCAUGCAAGAGUUGGAUAUCAAAGAAGAAGCUAUGGAGCUUUACGGAAGAGGAAAAAUCAGUAAGGCAUAAUUUGGUGCAGGAUUAUAAAAAGAGGCUUAAAGAAGAAAUUAGUUGGAUGCAAAGGUCGAGGGUAACAUGGCUUAAAGGAGGGUGAUAAGAAUACUAAGUUCUUUCACGCUCUGGCAAGUGCAAGGGCAAGAAAAAAAUAGAAUCCAUAGUGUGGUGGUAGAUGGGAAAGAAUAGAGGAAAAGACCCUGGUGUGUGACGUAAUUGUAUCUUUUUAUGAGCAAUUACUAUCCAAGGAGGACUGGAAGUGGCUGAAGCUUGACGGUUUUCUCCCUUUAAUAUAUUGAGGGGAGAGGUGACAACUGGUUUGGAAAUUCCGGCCUCUGAAGAAGAGGUUAAAAGUGGCAAUUGAUGACUUGGAAAGAGAAGGCUCUGUGGCCGGAUGGUGUCUUGAUGACAUUUUUCCAGGUGUUUUGGGCAACAUUAAAAGAAGACGUGAUGGCCUCCAUAAUGGAAUUUUUGCAGAGCGGUUACUUAGGGGCAGAGAUGCGGGCUUUGUUUUUGCUCUUAUUUCCAAAAGAGGAGCAUAAAACUUGUUAGAAUUCUAGCUAAUUAGCUUGGUGGGAGUUCUCUACAAGAUCCUUGCUAAGAUGUUGUCCACAAGGUUCCAAUUGGUGCUUUCCCAUAUUAUUUCGAGUGCUCAAAGUGUGUUUGUUGCUGGUAGGAAGUUAUUGGAUAGCGCAUUGAUUGCUCAUGAGCGUUUAGAUGCUUGCCAUAGGAAGGACAAGAAAGGCUUCAUUUGCAAGUUCGAUAUUGAAAAAGCUUAUGGUCAUGUGCAUAGGUACUUUUUGGAUUACGCAAGUUGGGAUGUGGAGAGCAUUGGAGAGGUUGGGUCCAAGCUUGCCUACAAUUGGCUAAAUUGUUGGUGCUAGUGAAUGGAUUGCCGAAAGUUUUUUUUUUUCUCCCAAGUCUCAAGAGGAUGAAGAUAGAGAUCCGCUAUCUUGGUUACUAUUUGUUGUGAUGAUAGAGGCUUUAAGCAAAAAGUUGGGUACGACAUAGCAGUGGGUCUCAUAGAUGGCUUCUCCGUGGAUAACGGGGGUCUCCAAAUCUCCCAUU